RNAcentral lists this transfer RNA (67 nucleotides) under Benedenia seriolae. RNAcentral's name for it is "tRNA-Asp". Lineage: Eukaryota; Metazoa; Platyhelminthes; Monogenea; Capsalidea; Capsalidae. The record is from RNAcentral.
AUGAGUUUAGUUUAAUAAAAACACUAGUUUGUCAUACUGGAAAUACUUAUUUUUUUUGUAAUUCAUU